Molecule: unclassified non-coding RNA, 2694 nt
Filed under: Haliotis rufescens (red abalone)
Lineage: Eukaryota; Metazoa; Mollusca; Gastropoda; Lepetellida; Haliotidae
Description: uncharacterized LOC124110961, transcript variant X4
Source: RNAcentral
CAUACAAUGUCCACAGCAACGGGCUGUUAUGUCACGGUAUCAACGGACGCUUUAUGUUAUUUUGUGCUCUACCAAGGGUAACAUGUCGACAGGUCAGGUAUACACAGUACCCGAGUGUUUCAAGCAUACCCUAGAAACCACCGCCACUGUAGAAAUCGGAUCUUUAUGAUGUGAUAUCACCGAGGGAUUUCUAUCAGGUGUUGUCUGGUACUAUCUGAUUGGGAAGAUGUGGAGCUGCCAGUAUAUCGCAUGGGCAAUAUUGUUAUUCGGGGCAAUUCUUGGGAUUGAUUCAGCCUCGCUAGCAGCCGAGAGGGUGUCAGAGGCUGUUUCUAUAACUCUCUACCGGCUUGAGGCAGACGAUUGGUCAAGUAAAUCCGCAGCCUUUAAAACAGUUGUGGCCGAUGGCGCCAAUGUAUACUGUGAAGCAUACCCUUCGGCCUGUGGCUUCCUCUACUGGGACAGCAAUGCCGCGUUUGGCGGGUCGUUGGUGGGAGAAAACCAAGUUGUCGUGGACGCCAAGAAUCUCAAGGUCAACUUCUACAUACAGUUCCAUGCUCUUGCCAAUAUCUCAUCUGUCUCCAAGACACAAUUUGUCUUGAACUAUAUUGCAUUUAAGACCAUUGUCCAGAGCGUUCGCCUUGAUAUCGCUUCGGCAGUUGGUGCGCCUGUGACGUAUGUAGACACGGAGUUCUACGGCAUCCCUCCCGCCAACCUAGCCAACCGGGUCAUCAUCCCCGUCGCCGUCGUCGUCUUACUCGUCAUCAUCGUCAUUGCCAUCGCACUCCACUUGUGGAACAAACGACAGAAAAAAAACAAAAAGAGUCGUGCGAGACGUGAUCUGACGUCAGCGAAGGUGACGCCCAUUCACACCACACACGGCGCUACUGGUAAACACGCCGACACUCACAACAACUUGAACGGAAGUAAUGUAAACAACACUGAAAAGGGGGCCCACCAAAUGAAGGAAAUAUUACCCAGCACCCCACAAUCGCACCCACAGAAACUCCCCCCUGUAAACGGGUUCAUGGAAGAUGAAACACAGCACCGAAACGCAGCACGAGCCGUAUCUGUAGAAGACACUGAAGGUGAACACCGGAAAGACAAGAAACGGAAGAAGAAGAGGAAGAAGCGUCAUCACCGGGAUUCUGAAUCUGGCUAUGACCACAAUCAAUCGGACAACGAAAACACCCGAACACACACGAUUACGUCUCAAGAACGUCACCAGUAUGGUAACGACGUGUACGACAGCGACCCUUGUUAGUUACGAUACAAAGACGAUUGUUUGAUGAUGUUAAUUUUUUAAAUCAGAAAUGUUACAGAACCUGCGUUCGUAGUCUGUAUUCGGAACAGUUAGAAAAACACGUAGCUUUUCUCUACAAUGAAUAUAACCACCAUUACAUGGGCUGUCAUAAUCCAAAUAAUAUGGGUAUGGUCAAGUUGGUCAAAGAGAUGGUUUGUAAAAAAUAAUAUGGGUAUGGUCAAGUUGGUCAAAGAGAUGGUUUGUAAAAUUGGUUUACGUUUAUUUAGGUUUAAUACGAACUAUAUAUAUUUGGGUUAUUAUGAGACAGUGCUAUUUAUCAUAACGACAUGAGCUUAGGGCAUUAUGUAAACUUAUAUUUACUCGUAGUUUUAAUAACUAGUAUUUUGUAUUCUUAACCUUGCUAUGUACACUUUAGAAUGUACUGUAUUAUACAGCGUAACACUAGCAAAAUCAUAUGGUGACAAGAAAACGUAAACGAUACAAAAUCGGUAAUCAUAAUUUUUAACGUUAGAUACGCCUGAACUUUUACCAGUUUAUGAAUCUCAAAAACACUCAUCAAUGCUCAUUUGAGACACUGCGCGCCGAAGUCGUAUCUGACCUGAAUAUCAAGGAAUCGUGGAUAGUGCUGCCAUGAAGGUCAGAGACUGGAGGGAAACCAUCUUUGCGUAUGUUUGUUUAUCUUGUCUUACCUUUGUAAAUAUACAGUGCUGUUUAUAAUUUAUGUUUUUAAUGUAGCGACCAUUCUGUGUUAGAUCACAACGAUUUGUAUUGAACACCUCACCAGCUUUAAAAAAAAGUUUAUUUCUCGACUCUUCAUACAUCCCCCUACCCCCUCAUACGUUUUUACGCUGUUGCUACAGUUUAUCCUGUGUAUAUAACGGUAACCAUGUCAUCAUUUAUCCCGAUACAAAGGUGACCUGCAGUAGCUGUGCGGUAUUCAGUAGCUUCAGUUGCGGUAUUCAGUAGCUACAGGUGCGGUAUUCAGUAGCUACAGGUGCGGUAUUCAGUAGCUUCAGGUGCGGUAUUCAGUAGCUUCAGGUGCGGUAUUCAGUAGCUACAGGUGCGGUGCGGUAUUCAGUAGCUACAGGUGCGGUAUUCAGUAGCUUCAGGUGCGGUAUUCAGUAGCUUCAGGUGCGGUAUUCAGUAGUUACAGGUGCGGUAUUCAGUAGCUACAGGUGCGGUAUUCAGUAGCUUCAGGUGCGGUAUUCAGUAGCUUCAGGUGCGGUAUUCAGUAGCUACAGGUGCGGUAUUCAGUAGCUUCAGGUGCGGUAUUCAGUAGCUACAGGUGCGGUAUUCAGUAGCUACAGGUGCGGUAUUCAGUAGCUACAGGUGCGGUAUUCAGUAGCUUCAGGUCCGGUAUUCAGUAGCCACAGGUGCGGUAUUCAGUAGCUUCAGGUGCGGUAUUCAGUAGCUUCGUGUACCUAUACACUACG